RNAcentral lists this microRNA (22 nucleotides) under Pan troglodytes (chimpanzee). RNAcentral describes it as "ptr-miR-1263". The record is from miRBase by way of RNAcentral. Lineage: Eukaryota; Metazoa; Chordata; Mammalia; Primates; Hominidae. RNAcentral also lists the same sequence under 2 other names.
AUGGUACCCUGGCAUACUGAGU